This is a long non-coding RNA of Eriocheir sinensis (Chinese mitten crab), 1771 nucleotides long. RefSeq lists it as uncharacterized. The transcript is spliced from 3 exons. Lineage: Eukaryota; Metazoa; Arthropoda; Malacostraca; Decapoda; Varunidae. The record is from RefSeq and is a predicted model, not a curated record.
UUUAGCAACCCUCAAUUUUAAGGUGUUGAUUUCAUCGUUAUUUUUGGAAUAUUUACCAAUAUUACCACCGUGCCAUCAGUGUCUUGAUACAUCAUACAAAGAGGAUUAACCACAAACACACAUUGGGGGCAGGGCGGCAGCGUGGCCGCCGAGACACCUGUUGCUCGCUGGACGAGUAAAUCACGGCUCGCUCCGCCUCAGAGAGAUCCUCCCUCGCUUUUUCAAGUGUUAAUGUUCACGUUGUAAUUUUGCUGCCCUCGAAGCAGAGCAACCCGUGCAUAGUUCAGCACUAAACAUAUAUGCUGGAGCCAUAACUCGGCAGAGCCACGCGGACAACAGGUUGGCAGUAGUGGUGGAGCCGGGGUACGCCUCCGCUUGCCUGGCCCGUGGCCCCAGUGGCCUCCCAAACCCGCCACCUCCGGGCCUCGGGCACGGCCACCCCAUCCCACCUUGGCGAGGGUUGCCAUCUGUUGCUUCACUCACAUCAGAACAACAUGAUGUUUGAGAAGGAAAGCGAGUCCCACGUUCACCACUUGGUCACAGGAAACACGUGUCUUCUACCAACACGAGGCGUCACUCUCGCAGGGAAACAACAUCCAGUGCAUGCAACGAAUCUUUCAUUAACACGAGGAAUCUCGGACUGGAAGUGUCCACAAAAUCUUCAUCAACAGUAGCUUUUACUUGGUCUUAGUAAGUGAGUGUGAUCUAUGAUGACCGACUUCCUGUAACGAAAUAUAAGUAUUUGUUGAGAUGACUGCAGUAAUAAUGAAAAUGGAACUGCUUGCUCAAGAAAAAAGUAAAUUAUCGUACUGGUGUCGCGGCAUCUCAAGCCAAACAUCUCCGUUCAAAGCUUACAAGUUUUGGUAUCUGCCUUAGCAGUGGGAGGCGGUCGCGUGUAACCCUGUGUAGGGAUGCCCAGGUCCCUGGGUCGUGUGGCUUUGACAGAACACAGUGAAGCGGGAGCAAAGAACUGUGUGAGUGGUGAGAGGAGUGAAUGGAAGUGGAGUGGAGUAGUCUUAAAUGGGCACAGUGGUGUGGGGGUACGACGUGGUAGCAGGGAACGCAAGGUGAGGUUCCCUGCUCACCUCACUCGUGGCGUGGCUCAAGAGGCACUGCUGUACUAUGCCAGGCCCACCUUACCCCUCCUUUGAAAUGUUUGUGUUGUAGUGUUUGACGCCCCACGUCACGCCGUGUUGACGACCUGGUGAUGCUGAACUCCUAUUCCAUUUGUACGAGUUCGUAAUGGGCGUUCAUGCGAUGGGUGAUGGGAUGAAAAAAUAGUAUAGUGCAACAGGAAGGAAUGACAACCAAACGCAUUGAGAACACUCGCUUUAUCAGUCCGUGAGUUGACAUACACACGCCGGGAGGUAAGCAGGAUGCUGAGUGCCGAGCGCUUGUCGCUGAACUAAUUGUAACCCUGAGAAAGACGAAGCUUGAUAAAACAUAUCACUAAAGACUGUCAGGAAAGACUCAAGUCACUGCCGGAAAAAAAAAAAAGUGAGACGAGGCGGUCAGUGGAUGCUGCGGCGUGGGUGGAGGGGGCGGCGAGGAGGACUAUGGCAGCUGAACUGGUGAAAGACUUGCCUCCACCUUGGACCAAUGCUGUUACUCGGGAUGGACGCAUCUUCUUCGUCAAUGAGGAGGCGCGUGUAACCACCUGGCUUCACCCCCUCACCUGCCAGCCAGCCCUUACCGGCCACCGACCACUGCCAGACCUUCCGAAAGGGUGGGAGCGCGGCGUCACUCCACAGGGGAUUCCCUACUAUAUCGA